UCCCAUUUUCAUUCCCAUCAUUCCCAUUAUUCCCAUUGUUAUUGCCAUUGUUAUUCCCAUUCCCAUUGUUAUUCCCAUUCCCAUUAAUUCCCACUAUCCCCAUCACUCCCAUUCCUGUUAUUCCCAUUAUUAUUCCCAUUGUUAUUGCCAUUGUCAUUCCCAUUGUUAUUCCCAUUAUUCCCAUUGUUAUUCCCAUUGUCAUUCCCAUUAUCUCCAUUAUCAUUCCCAUUAUCAUUCCCAUUAACAUUCCCAUUAUCUCCAUUUUCAUUCCCAUUAUUAUUCCCAUCAUUCCCAUUGUCAUUCCCAUUGUUCCCAUUGUCAUUCCCAUUAUUAUUCCAAUUAUUAUUCCCAUUAUUAUUCCCAUUAUCAUUCCCGCUGUUAUUCCCAUUGUUAUUCCCAUUUUCAUUCCCAUUUUCAUUCCCAUUAUUCCCAUCGUUAUUCCCAUUGUUUUUAUUCCCGUUUUUCCCAUUGUUAUUCCCAUUGUAAUUCCCAUUGUUAUUCCAAUUGUCAUUCUCAUUAUUCCCAUUGUUAUUCCCAUUGUCAUUCCCAUUAUCAUUCCCAUUAUCUCCAUUUUCAUUCCCAGUAUCAUUCCGAUCAUUCCCGUUGCCAUUCCCGCUGUUUUCGUUCCCGUGGUAUAUCCCGUUUAUACCCCGCUGUCCCAUCAUUCCCACUGUCAUUCCCGCUGUUUUCGUUCCCGUUGUAUAUCGCGUUUAUACCCCGCUGUCAUUCCCAUUAUCAUUCCCGCUGCCAUUCCCGCUGCCAUUGCCGUUGUAUAUCCCGUUUAUAUCCCGCUGUCCCAUUAUCAUUCCCGCUGUCAUUCCCGCCGUUUUCAUGGCCGUGGUAUAUCGCGUUUAUACCCCGCUGUCGCAGGCUCGUUCUCGGCGACGCUGCCGCCGUACCAGCAGUCGGAGGUGAUGCUGUUCAUCAUCAACAAGGUGCCCAUCCCCGACAACUCCCGGCAUUCCCAACAUUCCCGCAGCGUCCCGGAACAUUCCGGAGCCGAGGAU
RNAcentral lists this long non-coding RNA (1007 nucleotides) under Junco hyemalis (dark-eyed junco). RNAcentral's name for it is "lncRNA (ENSJHYG00000011242.1)". The record is from RNAcentral. Lineage: Eukaryota; Metazoa; Chordata; Aves; Passeriformes; Passerellidae.